GGAGAUCAUGCUGGUACAACUUGUACAUGUGAACUCCUAGCAUUCACAAAUAAUAAAAAACCCUCAAGCUUCACAGCUCAACUAGGGGUGCAUUUAUGCCCAACAAGAGUUAUAGUCACCAACAAAGUCAUAUUGCAAGCCAACAACUUCAAUGCAUGGCAUACGAAGAUCAAGCUAUUCAGCCCUCUUGCAUCUGCUUCAGACAUUUUACCUCUGUAACAAUGCAAACAUUACAACUCAUAGAAAGCUUCACACACUCUUGAUCAAGAUAGUGUGAAGUAAAACCAAUUUAUGGUGCCAACAAGAGCUUCAUCAAAGGAGUUCAAUCACAAUUCUCAAAAGCUGCACUCUUGAUCAAGACAGUGUGAAGCAAAACCAAUUUAUGGUGCCAACAAGAGCUUCAUCAAUGAAGGGCAUUCACAAUUCUCAAAAGCUUCACACUCUUGAUCAAGACAGUGUGGAGCAGAACCAAUUUAUGGUGCCAACAAGAACUUCAUCAAAGGAGGACAACCACAAUUCUCAAAAGCUUCACACUCUUGAUCAAGACAGUGUGAAGCAAAACCAAUUUAUGGUGACAACAAAAGUCUUAUCAAAGGAGUUCAACCACAAUUCUCAAAAGCUUUACUCUUGAUCAAGACAGUGUGAAACAAAACUAAUUUAUGGUGCCAACAAAAGCUUCAUCAAUGAAGGGCAAUUACAACUCGUAGAAAGCUUCACACUCUUGAUCAAGGCUGUUUGAAGCAAAUUCAAUUUAUAUAGUUCAUCCAAACCUUCGACUACUACAAGGUGUGGUUUGCAUCACAAUCUCUUGCUCAACAGUGUGGAAGCAAAUUUUGUAUAUGUUGUCUCUCUCACAUUUUCAAAUUUCUAAUUUUUCAAAAAAAAAAAAAAAAAUGGGAAAUUCAACAAAUUUCUAGUUUUCCCAAAAAAAGAAAAGGAAAUUGGGAAAUUCAACAAAGUUUCACCACAAAAUCUUCAUCAAUGGAGGACAACUACAAAUUCUGAAAAGCUUCACACCAUCUUGAUCAAGAUAGUGUGAACCAAAAUCAAUUCAUGGUACCCAACAAAGCUUCACCACAAAAGUUUCACCAACAAAAGCUUCAUCAAUAAAGGACAACUACAAAUUCUCAAAACCUUCACACUAUCUUGAUCAAGACAGUGUUAAGCAAAAUCAAUUUAAGGUACCCAACAAAAGCUUCAACUUCAAAUCUUCACCUACAAAGCUUCACCUACAAAAACUUCAACACAAAAACUUCACCUACAAAAGCUUCACUUACGAAAACUUAGCCCACAAAAGCUUGACUCACAAAAGCUUGACCUACAAAAGCUUGACCUACAAAAGCUUGACCCACAAAAGCUUCAGCAACAAAAGCUUGACCCACAAAAGCUUGACCCACAAAAGCUUCAGCAACAAAAGCUUGACCUACAAAAGUUUGACCUACCAAAGAUUCACCCACAAAAGCUUGACCUACAAAAGCUUCACCCACAAAAACCUCACUUACAAAGUUUCAACACAAAAGCUUCACCUACAAAAGCUUCACACGAUCUUGAUCAAGAUAGUGUGAAACAAAAUCAAUUCAUGGUGUCCAACAAAGCUUCAACCUCAAAGCUUCACCUACAAAACUUCACCUAUAAAGCUUAAAAUAUAUAUAUAUCGGAAAUUUGAAAAUUUGAAAAUUCAAAAAUUUGAAAAAAAAAAAAUUCAAAAAAAAAAAAAUGUCUAGGCCUCCUCUUCUUUAGGCUUAACAACUUUCAUAACAAAUAUAUAUGAAGGAGGAGUUUUGGGCUACCACUUAGAAAGGAAUUGCCUCGUUAGGCAACUCCCUUGACCGGAGACUUGAGGGACUCCUACCAUAUGCUACUGCACCUUGAUACUCAUAAGUCUCACGACCACUCAGUGACUUGAAUUUUUCAAGUCUCCAACCGAAAAGUUUUCCUUACUCGGGAAAUUAAGCAAGCACUAUCUCAACAUACAUGCUUCACUCUCAAACCUUCAACAUAUAAGCUUUAACAAAAGAAAAAAUUCAAAGAACUUAAUGAAGAAGACCUUGGUGUAUUUAACACAAUACGUUGAAAUGAAGCAAAGCUUGUUUAUUGAUAUCUCCGAUAAGUUACAAAUAUGUACAUAUAUAUGAAUCAAAAUAAACAAACAAGAGAGAGCAUUCACAAAGGUUGCUCUUGAGAAGUCUCAGCAAUCGGCAGAGUCCCAGAAAGAGUAGGCACCAGAGGGUGAUCAUUCAGAGCCUCAGUAUUGGGUAGAACCCCAAAAAGAGGAGGCAUCGAAGGUUGAUCAUUUGAAGCUUCAUUACGCGGUACAGCCCCAAAAGACGAAGACAAUAAAUGCCUUUGGAACAAACCCACUAACCUCUGAUGAUCAAGUAAACUCUGACCAUCAGACUCCUGCAGCUGGUUAAGCUUCCUCUUCAUGUUUGUAGCAUAGUCAUGUGCAAGCCUGUGCAACUGUUUAUUCUUAUGCUUGAGCCUUCUGAUCUUCUGUUUGAGACUUAUCACUUUAGCCGCCAAUGAUUCAAUUUGUCUGGUUCGAGCAAAUAGGCGUUGGGCCAUAUUAGACACAUAACUUGCACACUGAACACUGAGAGCUAGAGAAUCCUUAACAACCAACUCAUCAGACCGUUUGGAAAGUAGUCUGUUAUCUUUAGGAGUGAGAAGGUUCUUGGCCACCACCGCAGCGUUCGUAUCAUUCUUCAUCAUAGAGUCCCUAACGGUAAGAUGACCAAUAUGGGAUAAGAAGGAUGGGCGCCAUAUGUUGUCUUGAGAAGGCAUGGCUGCCUCUUCACCAAAGUUCAAGUCAAAACGACGAUUGGAUAGGCCAGACAUUCUCAGAAAUGAUGAAGAGAAAUGAGGUGCAAUAAAUCUUUUAAGUACAAGAAUAAGGGGAAAAUUCCUACAAACAAUAACUCUCUGAAUGUACUUCUUGCACACAAUUGGUGCCCUUAUAAAAGAAAGGGUAACAGGGUCGUUAGUUCAAAAAUCGAAGAGGCACCACUCUUCGAAUUUUGAAUAGGCACCACUCUCCACACGCAACAUCAGUUCCUCGGGUACCACAGAUAACUUUGCAAAAGAUCUUUGACAAUGUUUAGACACAUAAAUUUUGAAGGUCCAGCUACCCUACUAUUACCCACAAAGGUAAAGGAACAACACCACUUUUUGAUAACUAGAAAGUUCCUAUGUAUGUCAACCUCCGUGCUCUGUGGCAAGGCAGACUGGCAAAAAUGCCCAACCUUUACUCACAUUCGAGAAAACACUCCUAACAAGAUUGCUUGCUCAAAAAUCGAAGAGGCACCGCUCUCCGAAUCUCGAGAGUCAGACUCCCAACAUAAUUACGUGCUCAAAAAUCGAAGAGGCACCACCCUCCGAAUCUUGAGAGCCAGACUUCCAACAGGAUUACUUUCUCAAAAAUCGAAGAGACAUUGCUUUUCGAAUCUCAAGAGUCAGACUCCCAACAUGAUUGCUUUCUCAAAAAUCGAAAUGACACCGUUUUCUGAAUCUCGAGAGCCAGAUCCCCGACAAGAUUGCUUGUUCGAAAACCGAAGAGGCAACGCUUUCCGAACUUCGAGAGCUAGAUUUCCUUGGAUAAAGCUUAUUUGCAAUUUUCACAUGCAAAUCAGCUUUCCAGAUACCACAGACCAUUUUUUCAAAGUGCUCUGACAAAGUUAAAACACGUGAAGUUUGCAGCUCCCACUACAUUGCUAUGACCAAGAAGGGUAAAGGAAUAGCACUACUACUUGUUAGGGAGACUCCUAUAUAUGUCGACCUCUAUCAUCCACAGCCAGGCAACCUACAAAUAAAAAAAAAUGCUCAACUUUUCUUUACAUCCGAAAGAGCACUCUCAGCAGAGUCUCUCGAGAUACUCAGCUUCUUUUGCCCCCGAUAAUACCUUUGCAAACAAGCCACACAAGAGCAAGAGUAUCACAUAUCAUUAGGGUUAAAAGCAAGAGUAUCCCAUAUCAUGCUUUUUCCCUGUCUUUUCCUUUGGCCUUGUUCUUACCUGCAAGACAAGGAGAAAGAGAACAAUUAGUCAGCACUUGGAAUCAAGCUUCCAAUCAGGAACUGAUUGCCUAGAACCCCUUGAUUGAUCACUUAUCUGACAUUGCUUUCGAGUACUCAUCUUCAACAUCUUAUGCUUCUAGAGAAGAUACCACAUCUGCCUGAGGAAUAGAUAGGGCAAGUGAGAAGGAUACAAGGAAGCAUGUGGAGACAAGAGUAACAGAACACGUGCCGAUACAUCCAUUACUUUGUCAAUAGCAAAAGUAUCUCAUAUCAUCAAUGUCGAACGUAUUCUAGAUUUGAUGGACUUAUUUUGACCCUCAAAUUCUUGAGUUGGUCUUAUACUCUGGAGGAAACCAGAAAACCCUCUAGCCUAGUUCAAGAAUAAGCCUGUGAAAAGUUACUUCUUCAAAAGAAAAGAUAUCUCAUAUCAUCUCUUCUUCAUUUGCUUCUCCUUAUCCUUGUUGCUGUUUACGACACAAGAAGGAGAAUAAUCAACUGGAAGCCGAAGUCGAACCUCCGAUCCAGGUUGCUUGCUAGUAGUCUGAUUGCUUACCUUGUCUGUAACCUUUCGUCAAAUCUCCUAGCUCGGUGACUUGGGGGACUCCUAUUACAUGGUUUGUAUCGCGCUUGACCAAGCCUGAAAUUACAAGAAAGCUUCAAGUCAAAUUGAUACAUUACCUUGUGCAUCUCCACUUCGGUACUUAGAAGUUUUGUGAUUACUCAACGGCUUGGAUCUUGCAAGUCCCCAACCGAGGAGCUUCCCUCACUCGGUAACUUAGAGGAGGACUGUUUGUACUAUAUUUGACCAAUCCCGAAACUACUGAGCACUGGUCAACGUUAUACCGUCAAGAAUCCAGAAGAGUUUCCCUCCAACCAGAAGGUCAAUCACAGCGCGACACGUGUCGACAUCAGAAGCCAAUCAUAGCGUGACACGUGUCAACAUCAGAAGUCAAUCACAACACGACACGUGUCAAUGUCAAAAUGAAACUAGAAACUCUCUUCUAUAAAUAGAGAUCAUUCUCUCACAAUAUUUCUUAAUGUCAGUUAUACUAAAUCAUUCACUAGUACUCACUAAAGAAGAGCUUGAACCUAUGUACUUGUGUAAACCUUUCACAUUUAAUGAGAACUCUUCUACUCCAUGGACGUAGCCAAUCUGGGUGAACCACCUAUAUCUUGUGUUUGCUUCCUUGUCCCUAUCCAUUUACUUACUUAUCCACACUAUAACCGGAGCAAUCUAGCGAAGGUCACAACCUUAACACCUUCUGUUGUACCAAAGUCCUCGCUGAUUUUGUGCAUCAACACAUAGUAUUAAAUAUCAGUAAUAUUAUAUAUUAGGGCUUAGGUCAGCCCCUGUAUGUUUUUAUUACUCGACUGCAUAGAUAUCUAAUACCAUGCAUGUAGUAUUAUAUAUUUGCAUGUGUACAUGCAUAGAAUAGAUAGCAGUAAUAUUCAUCCAGGGAUGGGUUACCAUGCAUAGUAUUCGUUAUCAAUAAUACUACGCAAAGCAUUAGAUAUCAAUAAUACUAUGUAUAGUAUAUUGAUAUCUAGUACUAUGCAUGUAUAUACAUCCAGCGGGAAGAGAAGACUUUUUUCAUCCUCCUGGAUAUUUUAUUGGAGAAAUACAACAAAACAGGUGGAAUUGGCGUAGGAUAGAGAAACCUUAAUGGAUAGUGUCAUUCACAUACCCAUUUUUACCUCCCACAUAUCCUUGUUAAUUUUUAGCCAUUGAUCUUCUUCAAUUUAUUUGAUCCGAUGACCGAAAAAUGAAAGGGGUGUGUGCAGUGGCGGAUCCAGGAAAUAAUGUUUGGGGGGUCAUUAAGGAUAGCGCGCGCAGCGCGAAAUUUUUUUUUAACAGAAACGGCAUGCAUAUCGUCAUUUCAUCAGGUCUUGGUAGGAUAGCGCGACCAGCUACUCCAAAAUCCUUGUUCAAAAUCCUACAUUCCAGCUCUACAUCUGCAAAGAACAAUGAAAAAAUAAAAUAAAAAGUAGAGCCUUUCGGUUCCACUAGCAAAGGCACAAAAAUAAGGCUCUGUGCAAAAUAAGGUCGAAAGGACACGCUUGGUAUUUUUGUUUUUGUUCAGACCUGCCCAGGACACGCUGGGCAUUCUUUUUUUGUUUUAACCUGGGCCAAAACGACGUCGUUUUGCCCAGGUUUUUUUUAAAAACAAACUGGCGCCACAGCGCCUUCGUCUUCUUCAUCCAACCUGCCCAGACCAACGAACUUUCGUCGAACAGUUGGUGUGCAGCGAACGGGGUCGCACCAGGGGUCGCACCACCAGUCCAAGGGGUCUCUAAGGUUGCUUCCAUGGCUUCCAAGGGGUCGCGCGACCCCAAUGACCCCACUGUGGAUCCGCCACUGGGUGUGUGAGAAGUGAAAAUGGGUUUGUGGAUAACACUACCCAACCUUAAUAUAUGACCUGUUAUUGAUAUGUAUGAUAUUACUGAAUAAUCUAAUUUCUACGAAAGAGGCUUGCUCUCCAAUGUUAAGUGCUUUUCUUUGCAGUCUUUAAAUGCCCAAUCUAGAGCACUGCUAAUGCAGAAGCUGGAUCGCACUGGUAUUGCCACAAGGUGUGCAACCAUUUUUCCUCACUGCUUUCUGGUAGUUAUGUCGUUUUCCUAUGUCUGAUUGUCUCUCUUUUGGUAGUAUUGUGGGUUCUCUUGGAGUUCAUGCGCUGAAUGGGGCAGCUCCUAAUCAACUAGCUGUUGCAUUGCCAAUCAAUGGUCAAGCUGCAGUCUCUGCUCCUAUUCUUCCACCAGCAGUUGCAGUCAAUGAACCUGUUGGUAACCCCAGCGAAUGUCUACUACUGAAGAAUAUGUUCGAUCCAGCCACUGAGGUGUGUGUUCUUUGCAAAAAUUGUUUUCACUCGCCUCCCCAAAUACUUUUUAGUCCUAAAAUUCAGUAUUAUGUUUGCAGAGGGAGCCAGAUUUUGAUAUAGACAUUAAAGAGGAUGUUGAAGAAGAAUGUUCGAAAUAUGGCCAUGUGAAGCAUAUUUAUGUGGACAAGUAAGUGCUUAAAUAUGAAUACUAAGUAUGCAAUUAUAAUAUGAAUGUCUUGUUUGUGUAAUAUUAUUGCAAGAUGUCGUUGAUAUUUAUGAAAUACUGGGUGGGCACUUUUUGUGUUAACCAGUCUCACCUUAUAGGGUGGAGGAAAUUGGAAAAUAGAACUCCCAAGGGGAGAUUAAACUAAGUCACCCCAACCCAAUUCAACAAGGGUUGGGUGUUCAGUUUCUUGGGUUGUGAUUGAUUAUAGAGGCAUCGAAAUCGAAAGGAACCCAUUGCAAAACCAUAUGAAAUAGAGAAAAAAAAACAGUAGAUUUCUCUAUUUGAAAAUAUGUAGUUUUUAGUAGAUGCCUCUAUUCUCAUUUCUCAAAACCCUUGUAACAUUAAGAACUAAUAUAAUUUUUGUUACAUUGAAUAUUGUUCAAGAAAAUAAAUAGGGGUCACACACCUUCUUAAUUUUUGGCCGUUGGAUCGAAUGAAUUGAAGAAGAUUAACAACAACAAAGCAUUUUCUCACUAAGUGGGGUUAGCUGUAUGAAUCCUAGAAAAUCAUUGCGCUCGGUUCUGUGCCACGUCAGAACAUAUCCAAGUACUUUUAAGUCUUUUCUUAGAGUUUCUUCCAAAAUUUUCCUAGGUCUUCCUUCACCCCUUUGGCCCUGAACUUCUGUACUGUAAUCGCAGUAGGCCUUCGUUUCACAUGUCCAAACCAUUGUAACCGAUUUUCUCUCACCUUUCCUUCAAUUUUGGCUACUCCUAUUUGACCUCGGAUAUCCUCAUCCCUAAUCUUAUCUUUUCUUGUGUGUCCACACAUUCAACGAAGCAUUCUCAUAUCUGUUACACUAAUUUUAUGUACGUGUUGAUGCUUCACUGUCCAACACUCUGAGCCAUAAAGCAUUGUUGGCCUUAUUGCCAUCCAUCUUCAAUGGCAUAUGACGGUCACACAACAUGUCGGAUGCACUCUUCCACUUCUUCCAUCCAGCUUGUAUUCUAUGGUUGAGGUCUCCAUCCAACUCUUCGUUCUUUUGCAAGAUAGAUCUUAGGUAGCGAAAUCGGUCGCUCUUUGGUACUUCAUGAUCUCCAAUCCUCACCCCUAACUCAUUUGAGCCUUCGUUUGCACUGAACUUGCACUUCGUAUACUCUAUCUUUGACCAACUUAGGCAAAGACCUUUAAAUUCCAACACUUCUCUCCAAUGGUUAAGCUUCACAUUUACUCCUUCCUAGUUUCAUCUAUCAAUACUAUAUCGUCUGCAAAAAGCAUACACCAAGGAAUAUCAUCUUGAAUGUCUCGUUAACUCAUCCAUUACCUAUGCAAAAAGGUAAGGACUUAAAGAUGAGCCUUGAUGUAACCCUACAGUUAUGGGGAAGCUUUGAGUUUGUCCUUCAUGUGUUCUUAUGGCAGUCCUUACUUCAUCAUACAUAUCCUUUAUAGCUUGGAUAUAUGCUACUUGUACUCCUUUCUUCUCUAAAAUCCUUCAAAGAAUGUCUUUUGGGACCUUAUCAUACACUUUUUCCAAAUCUAUAAAGACUAUGUACAAAAAGGGUGUGUGGAUAUCACACCCCAAUAAAUAAUGUCACGUUGAAUGAUGAAAUAUUUUUGUCAAAUCCUGGUUAAGAAACAAAGGGUUUUUUUUUUUUUUUUUUUUUUUAUAAUUUAAUUUUUUUAUAAAAUCCUCUGUAUUUUCAAUUUUAUUUUGUUUGAUAAUGUGAAAAGAUACUAAAGAGUACAAAAGCAGUUCUUUCCCACUUGUUUCUGCAUACGUGUGUUGCGUUUGAUAUUUGAGAAAGCAGGUGAAUUUCAAAACUGAAUUGGUCUUUUUUCUCCUAAUUUGCUUUGCUUGAUACAGAAACAGUGCUGGUUUCGUGUAUUUGUGGUUUGAAACUGUGGAAGCAGCAGCCGGAGCUCAACGUGCAAUGCAUUGGAGAUGGUUUGCAGGAAGGCUGAUUUCAGCCCUGUUCAUGGUAACAUGUCUUUAACUUUCUGUUGUCAAGUAUGUUUUUGCUAAUUCCUGUGUGGAUCUUAAAAAAAUAGAUGCAAGGGCUCGUUUGGUGCAUAGGAUUGGAUUGAAAUGGAUAACUCUCAAACGUUAAGGCAUGUUAUGGGGAGAAAUGAAGAAAUUAUGACCCACUAGGAUUGAGUUUUCUUCAUGUCUAAUCCUCUUCUAAUCCCCUAUAAAUGAAUAAUCUACCUUCAAUUUGCCUUGAAAUUGGAGAAUUAUCUAUUCCAAUCCAAUUCUACUCACCAAACGAAGGCCUUAGUUUUCUUGUUAUGAACUUACGAGUGCACAUAUAAUUUAUGAUGUCAAGUAUUAUUGUUGGACAUUUUUGGUAUAGCACGUGGAAACUUUUCUGACAAUAAGUUUGAGUCGACUUUGUUUCUUCAUCAAAACUGAGCAUGUAGUAGUGUAGAUGUUGUCUAGGACUCCAUGGUUGUGUUAACUGUAGAGUUGAUUUCUCGUUGCCGCACCCUUUUCUUUUGGUUCAUUUUCAUGAAUAAUCUUGUUGCUCAUCGUCUUUCGGUGUCUUGUGCAGCAACCUCAAGUUUACGAGGCCAAGUUUGGAGCUUAAACCGCUGCUCAGAUGCGGGAGUGGAAAAGUCUCUGCGGACAUGCAUUGAGUGUUUUUAGUUGAAGGAUGGUUACUUGUUUUUGUUUAGGAUACCGAACUUUCUAGUUUUGAUCAUACACAUGUAAUGAUUAUAUGGUAUGCACGACAUGUGGAAAAUGUGCCCUGUUUUUUUUAUACUAAGCUAGAUGUGUGAGAAAUAUAAUUUUAUUUUUAUUCUUCUCAAAUAUUGUUUUUAAAUUUUUUUUUUGGUAGGAGUUAUGCACAGGAAAAAAUAAGUACUGGCAGUAAUGGAGAGAGAAGGUGAAACAGCGAGUGAGUUCAAAGGGUAGUGAUAGGGUGACAUGGUUUAGAAAAAAAAAAACAGUAAAAAGUUGUUUGCUUGAAAUUACCUUAAUAUCCUCAUUUUUUUCCUCACAUUUUCUUUUAGUUAUGUAUUUAAAGGGUAUAAUUGUAAUUUCACUGAUUUCUAAUUGACAAAGUGAGUAUUAUUAAGGGCUUUUAUCACAAAUGGUCUCUGAAAUUGACCCUUACCAUUAAGAUGGUUCUUGAAAUUGAAAAUCAAUCAAUGUAGUCCCUGAAUAUAGGUGUUGCAAAUCAAUGUGGUCAUUUCGUUAUAAUUCUGUUAAAAUUUUUGUUAGGUGUUGGUAUGGCACAUAAACGGGUCUUAUAAGUCAUUUUUUUCCUCACAAAUGGUCUCUAAAAUUGAUUCGCGACAUCAAAAUGAUUCUUGAAAUUGACUUGUGACAUCAAAAUGGUCCCUGAAAUUGAAAAUUGAGUGCUCAAAAUCAAUGUACUCAUUCCGUCAUAAUUCUGUAAAAAUUUCUAUUAUGUGCACACAAAAAUGGGUCACACAAGUCUAAUUAAAUAAAAAAAUUACAAAUAGGUUUAAUAACUUAAUAAUUAAUAAAACGAUGUUAAUCCAAAAACCUAGUCCUGCAAUCACCUCCGAUCCCAAUCCACAUUCCUCUAUCUCAUUCGUUGUCUAUUCUCUACAAAAAAAAAAAAAUCUCAAUACAUCCCAUCUUUACACACUUCGACACCCUUCAUUGAAUUGAACUUGGAUCGAGAUCACCUUUGGUGACGACUUGGCCAAUUGACAACGACUUCUAGGACAUCACCGUUAAUAUUUAGGCAAACAACAUCCUCACAACCUUAAUCUUGGAGAGCUUGUUCGGCAGGGGCUUCCCUAAUGGUCUGAUGACUCAAAGAACGACGAGGUUUGCCUUGAGAUAAUGAGGUUAUAAUUGAGGUAUGUCUAUUGUUGGUUGAAAACUAUUUCCAAACCCACCUCUUAGGCCUUGGUUAAGCCUUGUGCCUUUGAGAAUUUAUGGAAUGGAUCUCUCUUCGAAGUAGGCCAUCCUAUAAGAAAAAAAGUUCCAUUGCGCAAAAACGUAUUUAGACAACUUUUUUUAUUAAUUAUGAAACUCACAUCAUCACAUAACAAUUAUUUUUUUUUACAGAAUUGUGGUGGAAGGAUCAUAAUGAUUUGCGACACCUAUUUUUGAGGAUUACAUUCAUCGAUUUUCAAUUUUAGGGAUCAUCUUGAUGUGUGGGUCAAUUUCAGAGAUUAUUUCUGUUAAUGAGAACUCUUCUACUCCGUGGACGUAGCCAAUCUGGGUGAACCACGUACAUCUUGUGUUUGCUUCCCUGUCCCUAUCCAUUCAUAUACUUAUCCACACUAGUGACCGGAGCAAUCUAGCGAAGGUCACAAACUUAACAUUUUCUGUUGUACCAAAGUCCUCACUGAUUGUGUGCAUCAACAUUUGGCGCCGUCUGUGGGAACGACACUUAUUCCCACUCUCUUCAGCUUUGUCAAGCUGGUUUCCACCGUUCAUACACUCUCUUUUGACCAGGCAUCCCUCUCCAACAUGGGGAGCGAAGGAAGCCACAGCACACAGAAUGACACCCCUCUUGCAUGUAGUGCGAAGCAACGAAAGAAGGAAGGAAAUAGGGUUGCUCUUCAAGCUAAAGUCGAUGAACUAGAAGCUCAAAACAACAAGAUAGCAAUGAAACUAUGAGAAGCUCUUUGAGACACUCCAUGAAACUAUGCGUACUCAAACAGGCGAGCUUGUUGCCCCUGUGGACAUCAACCAUUAUCUGGGUGCCCCCCAACACGGAGGGUCACCUUCUUUCGACAUGGGUAUCCUUGAUGAGGAGCGAGCUAAUCAUCAAAACAUUGAUUAACAUGAGACUUUUCUCAACCCAGCUGCUUCGACGCGAAGCAGGAGAAGUGGAGGAAGACACCUCAUUGCAAAAGGGUUGGAAGGAUCGAAAGCCGUUUAUCGUGACUACCGAGACUUCCUAAAGCAACGUCGAGAGAAUCCCCUCCACAUAUGCUCGAAGAUCAAUGACCCAAGGGUUUCUGAAAAACUCGGUCCCCUCCCACGACCCAGGUCAGCUGCCAAUCUAAGAAAGGAACGACAUGUCCUAGAGGAACAUGAAGGUACAGGGGACUUUGAGGUAUUCCAACAGACUCGCCCUAGAAGUCAAUACGGCGAAUCCAAGGAAAAAUCACACACCCUUGGUCAAACUAUCCUACUUCCAAGAGGCGAUGAAGACUUACGAAAGAAAAUCCCAGUGGUACAUGACUCCACUCAAGUGUUGGAAAUGUGCCCUAAAACCAAUCAUAUGAUGAUACUUUGCGGACAUUUCACAUGUUAAACUAAUCUAGUUUAAUAUCAAGGGCAAAGAUUAUUGUUUAAGCCGUCUCAUAUAAAUGUUAUAUGCUUAAACGAUAAGUCCAAGGAAUAUGUAAUUAGAAGAAGGAACUCACCAUUCAUUCCACCUACCAGAAGACAAGUGGUACAACUUGUACAUGUGAACUCCUAGCAUUCACAAAUAAUCAAAAACCCUCAAGCUUGACAACUCAACUAGGGGAGCACUUAUACCCAACAAGAGUUAUAGUCACCAAUAAAGUCUUAUUGCAAGCCAACAACAACUUCAGUGCAUGGCUUACGAAGAUCAAGCUAUUCAGCUCUCUUGCAUCUGCUUCAAACAUUUCCCCUCUGUAACAAUGCAAACACUACAACUCGUAGAAAGCUUCACACACUCUUGAUCAAGACAGUGUGAAGCAAAACCAAUUUAUGGUGCCAACAAGAGCUUCAUCAAUGGAGGGCAACCACAAUUCUUAAAAGCUUCACACACUCUUGAUCAAGAUAGUGUGAAGCAAAACCAAUUUAUGGUGCCAACAUGAGCUUCAUCAAAGGAGUUCAACCACAAUUCUCAAAAGCUUCACACACUCUUGAUUAAGACAGUGUGAAGCAAAACCAAUUUAUGGUGCCAACAAGAGCUUCAUCAAUAGAGCGCAACCACAAUUCUCAAAAGCUUCACACACUCUUGAUCAAGACAGUGUGAAGCAAAACCAAUUUAUGGUGCCAACAAGAACUUCACCAAUGGAGGGCAAC
This 12979-nucleotide long non-coding RNA is filed under the name Malus domestica (apple). RNAcentral's name for it is "long non-coding RNA (MDOM_LNC000110)". Lineage: Eukaryota; Viridiplantae; Streptophyta; Magnoliopsida; Rosales; Rosaceae. The record is from RNAcentral.